GAUGAACGCUAGCGGGAGGCUUAAUACAUGCAAGUCGAGGGGCAGCACGGGACUUCGGUUCUGGUGGCGACCGGCGCACGGGUGAGUAACGCGUACACGACCUACCUUAUACAGAGGGAUAGCCCUGGGAAACUGGGAGUAAUACCUCAUAGUAUUAUAUGAUCAAAGUUAUAUAAUUAAAAGCUCCGGCGGUAUGAGAUGGGUGUGCGUUAGAUUAGCUAGUUGGUAAGGUAACGGCUUACCAAGGCGACGAUCUAUAGGGGGCGUGAGAGCGUGGACCCCCACACGGGUACUGAGACACGGACCCG
RNAcentral lists this ribosomal RNA (308 nucleotides) under uncultured bacterium. RNAcentral's name for it is "bacterial SSU rRNA". It matches the Rfam family "Bacterial small subunit ribosomal RNA", at positions 28 to 334 of the family's 1533-position model. The record is from RNAcentral.